Non-coding RNA from Oryctolagus cuniculus (rabbit), 2010 nucleotides. The record is from RefSeq and is a predicted model, not a curated record. NCBI's taxonomy places the organism in Eukaryota, Metazoa, Chordata, Mammalia, Lagomorpha, Leporidae.
CUGCUGGCCCGGCGCGCUCUGCGGCCUACGUGGGACGGCGGCGCGUAGGCCGCGCGCGCGCGCAUGGCCGGCCGCGCGGACCCAUUGUGUGCUGGCCCGGAGGCUGCGCCCCGCCCUCCGGUGCGCGCCGGUGCCCCCCACACCCCCGGGAGCCUCCGGCAGCGGCUGCCCCUCCGCGUCCGCCGGCGCGGGUGCUGUCCCCGGCCCGCUGCGCUUUCGCACCUCUUCCGGUGUACUAGUUACAGAAGGCUUUCGCUGUAGGACCGUAUGUCGUGUGACAGUGGCACCAGGCUCACACACCUUGAGCUUUGUGUGGAUGUCCUGAGAUGUUGGCAGAGUGAAGUGGCCGUUGGACGCAUUCUGUCAUUAGGCUACAUGUGACUGUUGUGUGACCUCAAAGUUACAGAAAGAGAGGCAGAGAGAGAGAGAAGUCUUCCAUCUACUGGUUCACUCCUUCAAAUGGCCACAACAGCGGAGCUGGGCUGAACUGAAGCCAGGAACCAGGAGCUUCUUCUAGGUCUCCCAUGUGGGUGGAGGGGUCCAAGGGCUUGGGCCAUCUUCUGUUGCUUUCCCGGGCCAUAGCAGAGAGCUGAGUCGGAAGUGGAGGAACCGGGACUCAAACAGGUUCCCAUAUGGGAUUCUGGCACUGCAGGCAGCGGCUUUACCUGCUACACCACAGUGCCGGUCCCAAUGAAAAAACGAUAUUUUUAAAAAAACAAUAUUUUCUUCUUCUACUAACCUGCUUGCAGCUCCCACAUUCUCCCCUCCCCUAUGAUUUUUUUUUAAAUGUUUGUGUAUUUCUUUGAAAGAGUGACCCAGAGCAAAACAGAGAUCCUCCAUUCACUGGCUCAUUCCCCACAUGCCUGAAACAGCUGGGGCUAGACCAGGAGAAGGCAAGAGCCAGGAACUCCAUCUGGCUCUCCCGUGUGAGUGGCAGGGGCUUGAGUACUUAAUGACAGUUCAAGUCCCAGCCGCUCCUCUUCCGAUCCAGCUCUCUGCUACGGCCUGGGAGAGCAGUAGAAGAUGGCCCAAGUUCUUGGGCCCCUGCACCCAUGUGAGAGACCCUGGAGAAGCUCCUGGCUCCUGGCUUCAGAUCGGCGCAGCUCCGGCCGUUGGGGAGUGAACCAGCAGAUGCAAGACCCCUCUCUCUCUGCCUCUCCUCUCUCUGUGUUACUCUGACUUUCAAAUAAAUAAAUAAUUUAAAAAAAUAAAAUUAUUUAAUUUUCAUGAGUUUUCAUUUACGUUUCAGAAGCCACGUGUGGGCAGCCAGCGUCCACACUGGACAGCAUCACCUGUGGCCUCGGCAGGCGUGGGCACCUACGUUCCAGCCCAGCCCUUGCUGGGAAGUCCGUGGUCUGGGUGGCGGUUAGGUUGUUAGCACGUGGGUUGGCCCGGGUGCCACUAGACCCACAAUGCUGGACAGCUGGCCGGCUGGCACCAAGGCUGGGCCACAGGGAGAGCCCCAGGGCUCUGCAUUCAUUGAUUGGGGGCACAGGGCACCCAGUUGAGAAGGAUCAGGGACACUUGGAGUGAUGGGACCCCAGAGGGCGUUUCAGCCUUAAGAAAGGCAGAGACAGACAGAUGGACAGAGGCUCCAUCCACUGGUUCACUCCCCGAACGCCUCAAGUGGCCAGGUCGAAGCCAGGAGCUGGGAACUUGAUCCAGGCCUCCCAGGCAGGGGGCAGGGAUCUGAGGGUUUGAGCCAUCAUCAUCAUCCCUCCCACAGUGCGCAUGUGCAGGAAACUGGACCUGGGAGCAUAGCCGGGACUCUGCUAUGGAAUGAGAGUAUCCUUACUGGCUUCUUAGCUUCUGUCUCACAAAGUCUAUUUGUAACGCAAGCUCUGUGCACCCUGUGCAGGAUUCCAAAGUCAUGCGUGGGUUUAUGGGAAAAUGCCGGUUACCUCCACAUGCUGGGCCCCAGGCCACCACAUCCCUCUUGCCAAGGGCGGUGACCACCACUGGUGUCUGGAAGGCCACGUGAUUCCUGCAGUUGUUCCCUGCGGGGGGGGG